UGUGAGCUCGAUGAGUAGGGCGGGACACGUGGUAUCCUGUCUGAAUAUGGGGGGACCAUCCUCCAAGGCUAAAUACUCCUGACUGACCGAUAGUGAACCAGUACCGUGAGGGAAAGGCGAAAAGAACCCCGGCGAGGGGAGUGAAAAAGAACCUGAAACCGUGUACGUACAAGCAGUGGGAGCCUCUUAAUGGGGUGACUGCGUACCUUUUGUAUAAUGGGUCAGCGACUUAUAUUCUGUAGCAAGGUUAACCGAAUAGGGGAGCCGAAGGGAAACCGAGUCUUAACUGGGCGUUAAGUUGCAGGGUAUAGACCCGAAACCCGGUGAUCUAGCCAUGGGCAGGUUGAAGGUUGGGUAACACUAACUGGAGGACCGAACCGACUAAUGUUGAAAAAUUAGCGGAUGACUUGUGGCUGGGGGUGAAAGGCCAAUCAAACCGGGAGAUAGCUGGUUCUCCCCGAAAGCUAUUUAGGUAGCGCCUCGUGAAUUCAUCUCCGGGGGUAGAGCACUGUUUCGGCAAGGGGGUCAUCCCGACUUACCAACCCGAUGCAAACUGCGAAUACCGGAGAAUGUUAUCACGGGAGACACACGGCGGGUGCUAACGUCCGUCGUGAAGAGGGAAACAACCCAGACCGCCAGCUAAGGUCCCAAAGUCAUGGUUAAGUGGGAAACGAUGUGGGAAGGCCCAGACAGCCAGGAUGUUGGCUUAGAAGCAGCCAUCAUUUAAAGAAAGCGUAAUAGCUCACUGGUCGAGUCGGCCUGCGCGGAAGAUGUAACGGGGCUAAACCAUGCACCGAAGCUGCGGCAGCGACACUAUGUGUUGUUGGGUAGGGGAGCGUUCUGUAAGCCUGUGAAGGUG
This 859-nucleotide ribosomal RNA is filed under the name Escherichia coli. Its description in RNAcentral is "bacterial LSU rRNA". It matches the Rfam family "Bacterial large subunit ribosomal RNA", at positions 398 to 1258 of the family's 2925-position model. Lineage: Bacteria; Pseudomonadati; Pseudomonadota; Gammaproteobacteria; Enterobacterales; Enterobacteriaceae. The record is from RNAcentral.